RNAcentral lists this ribosomal RNA (606 nucleotides) under Triticum aestivum (bread wheat). RNAcentral describes it as "partial small subunit ribosomal RNA". Lineage: Eukaryota; Viridiplantae; Streptophyta; Magnoliopsida; Poales; Poaceae. The record is from RNAcentral.
AUGAUUUCAGAUAUAUGGCGGUUGGCCCAGCAGGUGAAAGUUAGACAAAGAGUCAUAGUUACUGCAAUCACAUACUUCAGGUGUGUCUGUACAAGAAAGAGCAUGGCGGAGUAUGAUCCUUGUUUGGUAGCACCAGCUUGUUUGUAUUUGGCAUCAAAGGUGGAGGAAAGCACAGUGCAAACAAGGCAUCUCGUAUUUUACAUCAAGAUGAUGUGUGUGGUAACUGGUUCUGAUGACAAGUACAGAUUUGAAUUCAAAUAUAUUCUUGAAAUGGAAAUGAAGCUCCUGGAAGCACUCAACUAUUAUUUGGUUGUUUUGCACCCAUACUGUCCUCUUUUACUGUUAUUGCAGGAUGCUGGCAUAACAGAUCUGACACAAUUCGCCUGGGGCCUUGUCAAUGAUACUUACAAGAUGGAUCUUAUUCUCAUAUAUCCUCCAUAUAUGAGUGCAUUGGCCUGCAUAUACAUUGCAAGUGUUCUUAAAGGUAAGGACACGACUUCCUGGUUUGAAGAACUCCAUGUUGACAUGAACAUUCUUAAGAAUAUUUCUAUGGAAAUCUUGGACUUGUACGACACCUACAAGAUUGAUCCUAAUAGGGGCCUCUAG